AUCUGUGCCACAUGCAUGAAUUCAAUUGGAGUAUAACGAAGAAUUACAAGAUUGUGUGUUUCCAAGUAACAGCUCAGCGUUAAAGAGAGAGAGCGAUAGAUAGAUAUACCAUAUAUAUAGUUACAGGUGAUGAGAUAAAUUUAAUGCUGUAUGUAAACGCAGCCGCUAUUCUUAAAACUUUUGCUAUUUCCAACGAUUCAGUUUAACGCAACGACACGUCGCGUAGUGAGAACUGGAUAAACGACACAUAAUUUAUUAAUUCCUCGUGAUUUAUCUCUGCACCCAUGCAGCCGGCAAAGAAGAGAGGAACCGAGUAAUAAUCACGAAGGAAACAAGGAUAAAAAAGAAGAUGAAAAAAGUUUGAAUCAAGAAUUUUUACGCUGGAAAUUAACGCGAGACACGGUGCGAAGUCCGUAGCUUUAGACUGCAUUUUCCAUGAAAGAACGAGUAUGAUUAUAGAUAUACCGUACGAUACGUGCCCUUGAAAAAAGAAAGAGCACAGGCUUGAGAAAUUUCGAGGAAAGUUAUACGGUAUAAAGUUGCCCAACUUUCCGGUGAACGGCAAUCAACUGAACCACCUGGCAACGACUCAUACCUAGAAACGAUAUAUUAACAUAAAUUUAUUACCAGUUGUCCGAAUUUUCUUUACCGUUGAAAGAUGUUCAUGAUUAUCUUGGACCGUCAAUUCUUUCUUUACGCCGAAGUUCCGGGUAAGCGAGACGUUGAAAGAAAGUCCAAAAAAAAAAAAAAAACUAUCCCUUGACCUUUUUCAGUAUCUCCAAGGGAACGUUUCACGUCGAAACAAUGUC
This is a long non-coding RNA of Neodiprion fabricii, 809 nucleotides long. RefSeq lists it as uncharacterized. The transcript has 3 exons. The record is from RefSeq and is a predicted model, not a curated record. NCBI's taxonomy places the organism in Eukaryota, Metazoa, Arthropoda, Insecta, Hymenoptera, Diprionidae.